GCUGUGCAUGUGAGCAGAGGCCAGAGGCGGAGGUGGAGAAGGAGAGGACUUGGGUGAGGAGCUGCUGCCACCCGGGCUGGGCCAGGACCUGAGAUCUCAUUGCUACUGCUGCCGCUGCUGCCUGGGGAACCUUUCUGAGACCCAGGUUGGGGACAGUGCCGGAGGGGCCUCCUCUGCUGCAGACAUCUGGAACCAGGUGCAGAUGGGUCUCUUCCUUCCUGCCCCCAUCUCUCUCACUCCCGGCUCAGUGCGGCACUCUCCAGCCUCCUGUGGGAAUCAUCUGAAGUUCUGAGCCCGGAAGCCAAGGAGGAAGACGAGGAGGAGGAGGAGGAGGAGGAGGGAGAGGAAGUCAAGCCCUGAGAACCCUUGCACCUUCCUAGCAGGAGACAAGGAGCAACGCUGCAGUGGGGAGCAGGCUGUGGGGCCCCCACCCCCAGCCCCAGCCAGGCCUAGUGCCUGCUGCAGCACCCUA
RNAcentral lists this small RNA (472 nucleotides) under Pan troglodytes (chimpanzee). RNAcentral's name for it is "processed transcript". The record is from RNAcentral. Lineage: Eukaryota; Metazoa; Chordata; Mammalia; Primates; Hominidae.